AUUGGACGCUGGCGGCAGGCCUAACACAUGCAAGUCGAGCGGAUGAAGGGAGCUUGCUCCUGGAUUCAGCGGCGGACGGGUGAGUAAUGCCUAGGAAUCUGCCUGGUAGUGGGGAUAACGUCCGGAAACGGGCGCUAAUACCGCAUACGUCCUGAGGGAGAAAGUGGGGGAUCUUCGGACCUCACGCUAUCAGAUGAGCCUAGGUCGGAUUAGCUAGUUGGUGGGGUAAAGGCCUACCAAGGCGACGAUCCGUAACUGGUCUGAGAGGAUGAUCAGUCACACUGGAACUGAGACACGGUCCAGACUCCUACGGGAGGCAGCAGUGGGGAAUAUUGGACAAUGGGCGAAAGCCUGAUCCAGCCAUGCCGCGUGUGUGAAGAAGGUCUUCGGAUUGUAAAGCACUUUAAGUUGGGAGGAAGGGCAGUAAGUUAAUACCUUGCUGUUUUGACGUUACCAACAGAAUAAGCACCGGCUAACUUCGUG
RNAcentral lists this ribosomal RNA (483 nucleotides) under uncultured bacterium. RNAcentral describes it as "partial 16S ribosomal RNA". It matches the Rfam family "Bacterial small subunit ribosomal RNA", at positions 30 to 507 of the family's 1533-position model. The record is from RNAcentral.